This 411-nucleotide long non-coding RNA is filed under the name Homo sapiens (human). Its description in RNAcentral is "HSALNT0256177". Lineage: Eukaryota; Metazoa; Chordata; Mammalia; Primates; Hominidae. The record is from RNAcentral.
CCUGCUCCUGUUCCCCGUCUGUAUUUCCUGUCUGGGCAAUGCGAAGGGAACCUGCCCCUUCCUUCAGGAUCCUCUUUCAGUACACACUUAGCAGAGGACAGUCGGGGUUUCCCAACUGCGACACUACUGACGGUGCUGUCUGCCCCCAUGUUCCCAGAUCAACCACAGUUCCAGGGAGGGAGAGUCAGAGCCUUUCUGUGAACUAUGGGGAAAUGGCUGACCACUCCGCCUCUGGAUGGAUAGAUACAUGGACAGCUGGUUUAAGUUUUGACAAAGAAAAACCCCUCCUGGAACCUCAGUCUGGAAUACAACUGUAGAACCAAUUAAGACUGGAGUAGGAAGCUGGAAAGAAGACGUGGGACAGCCAACCCACUGGACAGGGCAAGAGGCCACUUCUGGGGGAGAGUGGAC